RNAcentral lists this ribosomal RNA (564 nucleotides) under uncultured Glomeromycotina. RNAcentral describes it as "SSU rRNA". It matches the Rfam family "Eukaryotic small subunit ribosomal RNA", at positions 548 to 1114 of the family's 1831-position model. Lineage: Eukaryota; Fungi; Glomeromycota. The record is from RNAcentral.
UUGGAGGGCAAGUCUGGUGCCAGCAGCCGCGGUAAUUCCAGCUCCAAUAGCGUAUAUUAAAGUUGUUGCAGUUAAAAAGCUCGUAGUUGAAUUUCGGGAUCAGAUUGUCGGUCGUGCCUCGGUACGCACUGGCAUUAUUGGUUCCUACCUUCUGAAGAACCGCGAUGUCAUUAAUUUGGUGUCGUGGGGAAUCAGGACUGUUACUUUGAAAAAAUUAGAGUGUUUAAAGCAGGCGCACGCUUGAAUACAUUAGCAUGGAAUAAUGAAAUAGGACGUUUGAUUCUAUUUUGUUGGUUUCUAGGAUCGACGUAAUGAUUAAUAGGGAUAGUUGGGGGCAUUAGUAUUCAAUUGUCAGAGGUGAAAUUCUUGGAUUUAUUGAAGACUAACUACUGCGAAAGCAUUUGCCAAGGAUGUUUUCAUUAAUCAAGAACGAAAGUUAGGGGAUCGAAGACGAUCAGAUACCGUCGUAGUCUUAACCAUAAACUAUGCCGACUAGGGAUCGGAUGAUGUUAAUUUUAUAACGACUCAUUCGGCGCCUUACGGGAAACCAAAGUGUUUGGGUUC